Molecule: long non-coding RNA, 767 nt
Filed under: Trifolium pratense (red clover)
Lineage: Eukaryota; Viridiplantae; Streptophyta; Magnoliopsida; Fabales; Fabaceae
Description: long non-coding RNA (TPRA_LNC008910)
Source: RNAcentral
UAAGAUGAGUUUUCUACAUGAAAAGCCGUAAAACAAAACAAAACACAAAAGUAAACAAACAAACAUGGAAAAUAUGAUGGAAGUACCUGUAUCUUCAAAAAUUCUUCUCCUGAGAACAAAAGGAACAAUGUCAACUUGUUGCUUUAUUAAAUUUGAAUGGGAAUAAAUAUAAUAAAACUUUUUAGCUGGAAAGACAACAAAUAUUUUAUGAAAAAAAAAUUAAAAUUUUGGUCUCCAUAAGAUAUUUGAUGCUAGUAGUUGCAUGCACUUUGAUUGCUUUCCAUGAAAUAUUUUUGUUAAUAAUUAUCCCUACAAAAUAGCAUUACACUUUUUUUCAGAACAAAAUUUUUUUCAGCUACAAAGACAACAAAAUACAAAAUAUAUAUUGUUAUUGUUUGGUUUAGAUUGCUUGAUGAGAAUGUUUGGUUCCACAUCCCUUGUUCUGCAUCUAUCUCAGUUGUAAAUACUCCUGCCAUUCAUUCAUUAAUCAAUUGGGACAAUAAUAAUAAUAAUUGAAACCAUAUAAAAAAAAUCAUAAUAGUUGCGUAAGAUGAAUGAAAAAGAAAACAUAAAAGUAAAACAAACAUGGAGAAUAUGAUGGAAGUACCUGUAUCUUCUUCAAAAACUUCUUUACUCGUGUUUUAUACACAACUACCAACUAACAUGAGAAAAAUUUGUUCCUUUGAGUUGUGAUAAAUAAAGAUGUGGGCAGCAGAGAUUAUAAAUAUGAGAAAAUAGAGAACAAAUGAGGAAAAAAGAAGAAAAAA